RNAcentral lists this ribosomal RNA (492 nucleotides) under uncultured bacterium. RNAcentral's name for it is "partial 16S ribosomal RNA". It matches the Rfam family "Bacterial small subunit ribosomal RNA", at positions 29 to 507 of the family's 1533-position model. The record is from RNAcentral.
AGUGAACGCUGGCGGUAGGCCUAACACAUGCCAGUCGAACGGCAGCACAGUAAGAGCUUGCUCUUACGGGUGGCGAGUGGCGGACGGGUGAGGAAUACAUCGGAAUCUACUUUUUCGUGGGGGAUAACGUAGGGAAACUUACGCUAAUACCGCAUACGACCUACGGGUGAAAGCAGGGGAUCUUCGGACCUUGCGCGAUUGAAUGAGCCGAUGUCGGAUUAGCUAGUUGGCGGGGUAAAGGCCCACCAAGGCGACGAUCCGUAGCUGGUCUGAGAGGAUGAUCAGCCACACUGGGACUGAGACACGGUCCAGACUCCUACGGGAGGCAGCAGUGGGGAAUAUUGGACAAUGGGCGCAAGCCUGAUCCAGCCAUACCGCGUGGGUGAAGAAGGCCUUCGGGUUGUAAAGCCCUUUUGUUGGGAAAGAAAAGCAGCAGGUUAAUACCCCGCUGUUCUGACGGUACCCAAAGAAUAAGCACCGGCUAACUUCGUG